Non-coding RNA from Punica granatum (pomegranate), 950 nucleotides. The record is from RefSeq and is a predicted model, not a curated record. NCBI's taxonomy places the organism in Eukaryota, Viridiplantae, Streptophyta, Magnoliopsida, Myrtales, Lythraceae.
ACCGCCAUUGACUUUUCCUUUUCUUUUUCUUUCUUGUUCUGUUGGGGGCUGUGGGAAAAAUGGGGAAAAACAGAGGGUGAGAGAGAACCAGAGAUGGAGGAGGAGGAGAGCCGCCAUUGACGAUUUCUUGAACUUCAUCGAGCUCAUCGGAGGAGCCGAGGAGACUGAGACCAUACCCCUAGAAGGCUCGACUCAUCGAUUUAUCUUUUUGAGGGGUCCUCCAUGGGACCGCUGAUCCGGCAAGAUACAAAAAGGGACUUCUAGAUCGCUAAUCCGGCGGGAUACAAAAAGGAACGCCUAGACCGCUGAUCCAGCGGUAUAUAAAAUGGACGCCUAGACCGCUGAUUCGGCGGGAUACAAAAAUGAACGUCUAGACCGCUGAUCUGGCGGGAUACAAAAAUGGACGUCUAGACCGCUGAUCCGAUGGGAUACAAAAAGGGAUGCCUAGACCGCUGAUCCAACGGGAUAUAAAAUGGACGCCUAGACCGCUGAUCCAGCAGGAUACAAAAAGGGAUGUCUAAACUGCUGAACCGGCGGGAUAUAAAAUGGACGCAUAGACUCCUACUAUUGGAGGAUAAUGGGCAACCCCCGCUUAUGAGAAAUGAAAUGAGGAAUUUACGAAUAUGAGUGCGGGGACACGGUACCGUCACAACUCUGUUGCGAGGAAAUGCAACCCUAUGGCUAUAUUGAUUGGUUGAAUUGUAUAUUGUUGUCUUGUAUGAUUGCUGAAGCUGUGAUGAUUAUUGAGAAUGUCUGAAGAUGUUCUGUCAAAGCCGUGCUACUGUUUGAGUUGAUAUGUCAGAUGAUUGUGUUGUGAGUUUCUCUGGAAUGUUAAUAAAUGGAUAUUUGAUGUUUAUGUGAUAUUGGAUAUUAAAGGAAUGAUUGGAAGAGUUGGUGUAUUUAUUAGUAGAACUUAAAUUUAGUUAUUAUAUUAGAUAUAAUUAUUAUUA